UAAUACAGAGGGUGCGAGCGUUAAUCGGAGUUACUGGGCGUAAAGGGCGCGUAGGCGGUUGUAUAAGAUUGAUGUGAAAUCCCUGGGCUUAACCUAGGAACUGCAUCGAUGACUGUACGACUAGAGUACUGUAGAGGGUAGUGGAAUUUCCGGUGUAGCGGUGAAAUGCGUAGAGAUCGGAAGGAACACCAGUGGCGAAGGCGGCUACCUGGACAGAUACUGACGCUGAGGCGCGAGAGCGUGGGGAGCAAACAGGAUUAGAUACCCUGGUAGUCCACGCUGUAAACGAUGAAAACUAGAUGUUGGUCAGCGAGACUGAUUAGUAUCGAAGCAAACGCGAUAAGUUUUCCGCCUGGGGAGUACGACCGCAAGGUUA
Molecule: ribosomal RNA, 376 nt
Filed under: uncultured bacterium
Lineage: Bacteria
Description: bacterial SSU rRNA
Rfam family: Bacterial small subunit ribosomal RNA
Source: RNAcentral